This 993-nucleotide ribosomal RNA is filed under the name uncultured Neisseria sp. RNAcentral describes it as "bacterial SSU rRNA". It matches the Rfam family "Bacterial small subunit ribosomal RNA", at positions 509 to 1502 of the family's 1533-position model. The record is from RNAcentral. Lineage: Bacteria; Pseudomonadati; Pseudomonadota; Betaproteobacteria; Neisseriales; Neisseriaceae.
CAGCAGCCGCGGUAAUACGUAGGGUGCGAGCGUUAAUCGGAAUUACUGGGCGUAAAGCGGGCGCAGACGGUUACUUAAGCAGGAUGUGAAAUCCCCGGGCUCAACCUGGGAACUGCGUUCUGAACUGGGUGACUCGAGUGUGUCAGGAGGGAGGUAGAAUUCCACGUGUAGCAGUGAAAUGCGUAGAGAUGUGGAGGAAUACCGAUGGCGAAGGCAGCCUCCUGGGAUAACACUGACGUUCAUGCCCGAAAGCGUGGGUAGCAAACAGGAUUAGAUACCCUGGUAGUCCACGCCCUAAACGAUGUCAAUUAGCUGUUGGGCAACUUGAUUGUUCAGUAGCGUAGCUAACGCGUGAAAUUGACCGCCUGGGGAGUACGGUCGCAAGAUUAAAACUCAAAGGAAUUGACGGGGACCCGCACAAGCGGUGGAUGAUGUGGAUUAAUUCGAUGCAACGCGAAGAACCUUACCUGGUCUUGACAUGUACGGAAUCCUCCAGAGACGGAGGAGUGCCUUCGGGAGCCGUAACACAGGUGCUGCAUGGCUGUCGUCAGCUCGUGUCGUGAGAUGUUGGGUUAAGUCCCGCAACGAGCGCAACCCUUGUCAUUAGUUGCCAUCAUUCAGUUGGGCACUCUAAUGAGACUGCCGGUGACAAGCCGGAGGAAGGUGGGGAUGACGUCAAGUCCUCAUGGCCCUUAUGACCAGGGCUUCACACGUCAUACAAUGGUCGGUACAGAGGGUAGCCAAGCCGCGAGGCGGAGCCAAUCUCACAAAACCGAUCGUAGUCCGGAUUGCACUCUGCAACUCGAGUGCAUGAAGUCGGAAUCGCUAGUAAUCGCAGGUCAGCAUACUGCGGUGAAUACGUUCCCGGGUCUUGUACACACCGCCCGUCACACCAUGGGAGUGGGGGAUACCAGAAGUAGGUAGGAUAACCGCAAGGAGUCCGCUUACCACGGUAUGCUUCAUGACUGGGGUGAAGUCGUAACAAGGUAGCCG